UUAAGUUCAGCGGGUAUCCCUACCUGAUCCGAGGUCAACCUUGUAAAAAUUUGGUUAUAGACCAGCCCCCGGAGACCGCAACCGAUACGUGCUUGGAAAGCUCAUUGUACCAGGGGUCCGCCGGACGCCGUCGUUUUCUUUCGGAGCGGCCAGGUUCAGAACCUCGCCGGGCCUCCAACACCAAGCCGGGGCUUGAGGGU
RNAcentral lists this unclassified non-coding RNA (200 nucleotides) under Herpotrichiellaceae sp. RNAcentral's name for it is "partial internal transcribed spacer 2". The record is from RNAcentral. Lineage: Eukaryota; Fungi; Ascomycota; Eurotiomycetes; Chaetothyriales; Herpotrichiellaceae.